Molecule: long non-coding RNA, 296 nt
Organism: Arabidopsis thaliana (thale cress)
Lineage: Eukaryota; Viridiplantae; Streptophyta; Magnoliopsida; Brassicales; Brassicaceae
Product: other RNA
Exons: 2
Source: RefSeq
ACCUCUCUUCCAACAUGGUUAAGGUUUUAAAUCUUUACAUUCCCUUCCCUCUUGUCUAUGAUCAAAACCAUGUCCAUGACCACUAGUUUGAGUUGCAGCCUUGCAGGGUUCGCGGGAAAGUGUACCUCGGUUUGAAAAUCUUGUUAAAACUCUCUUUCGAGACAAAAUCGAAACGACAACUACGUUGGAAAUUGCUUACAAUUAUGAUGGAUAACGCUCCAAAGCCACAUAAAAAGUGUGUAUUCACAACUCAUAAAACUGGUGGGUUUGUGUUACGUGUAGAACAAAUUCAUGGA